RNAcentral lists this long non-coding RNA (361 nucleotides) under Vulpes vulpes (red fox). Its description in RNAcentral is "lncRNA (ENSVVUG00000012223.1)". The record is from RNAcentral. Lineage: Eukaryota; Metazoa; Chordata; Mammalia; Carnivora; Canidae.
ACCUAAAGUUUGAAAUCUGUGCUCUUUCAAAUUUAAUUUAACAAACAUCUUUUGAUUUAUUGAUUGUUUAUGAUGUUCCAGACCAGGCAAGGGGACCUACACAGAGGAUGAAGAAUAGGACAUAUCUUCAAGGGAGGUUCUUAAUGUAGGAGCAAUUUGAAGUGGAUUCAGUUUUAUAGAUAAUAAGCAUGAGAGUAAAGAUCACAGCAGACAUUUGGUUACUAAAGAAACCUCCCAUUGGAUCUGCCACACUCUCUCCAUCCUCCCACUGGCCAGCUGGAAGCAGAAGCAUCAGGAGAGAACGUCAGGUUCUAAAGGAUGGUGAAACCACAGGCUGAAAGGAGACUGGUCUCAGAAUCAC